This 518-nucleotide ribosomal RNA is filed under the name uncultured bacterium. Its description in RNAcentral is "bacterial SSU rRNA". It matches the Rfam family "Bacterial small subunit ribosomal RNA", at positions 8 to 518 of the family's 1533-position model. The record is from RNAcentral.
AGAGUUGAUCCUGGCUUAGGAUGAACGCUAGCGACAGGCUUAACACAUGCAAGUCGAGGGGCAGCACGGGAGUAGCAAUACAACUGGUGGCGACCGGCGCACGGGUGAGUAACGCGUAUGCAACCUACCUAUCAGAAGGGAAUAACCCGGCGAAAGUCGGACUAAUACCGCAUAAAACAGGGGCACCGCAUGGUGAUAUUUGUUAAAGAGAUUCGCUGAUAGAUGGGCAUGCGUUCCAUUAGGUAGUUGGUGAGGUAACGGCUCACCAAGCCGACGAUGGAUAGGGGAACUGAGAGGUUGGUCCCCCACACUGGUACUGAGACACGGACCAGACUCCUACGGGAGGCAGCAGUGAGGAAUAUUGGUCAAUGGGCGGGAGCCUGAACCAGCCAAGUCGCGUGAAGGAAGAAGGAUCUAUGGUUCGUAAACUUCUUUUGCAGGGGAAUAAAGUGCAGGACGUGUCCUGUUUUGUAUGUACCCUGAGAAUAAGGAUCGGCUAACUCCGUGCCAGCCGCUGC